CCCCUCUCAAGGUCGCACCUGGAGAGUUUCCAGUGCUCUACCAGUCUCGACUACAGGAGGGAGAGUCAAGCAGUGGUAUAUCCAUUCCAUUCCUAGAAUGGGCAGUGGCUAGCGGGUGGAAGGCAAUCUGCUACAAGU
RNAcentral lists this small nucleolar RNA (138 nucleotides) under Ornithorhynchus anatinus (platypus). The record is from RNAcentral. Lineage: Eukaryota; Metazoa; Chordata; Mammalia; Monotremata; Ornithorhynchidae.